UAAGCAGCUUGGUUUGAAGAAAUCAACUGUGGGAGCACAAUGGUUUGUUUUAUUUAUUUUUUACAAUUUAUUUUUGUAUCAGACAUAUUUCAAUAUCUUAGAUUGUCAAUAGAUAUUGCUUUCCUACCCCCUCCUCCAGGUUUGGUGAAUGGACCAACCAGACCCUCAAGACUGCCAUGGGCAAGUCCCUUGAUUGGUACCAGGAAGGGUGGGCAAACAACCUGAAGGUAAUUCUCUUUGCACACAACAGCAGCAUCCAGGUCUCCACCGAGUACGGACAGGAGCCGCAGCUGUUGACUCAGAUCACUGGAACCCGAGCUGAUGUGGUGGAAGCUGUCAAAUCAGAUUAGAACGCCUUCAAGGACCACCUUCAGGCACGGACUAAGAAGGAUGUGGAGGUUUUUGACCAGUCAAGGUGGACUGAACAUCAACAAGGCGCAGGAGAAACAGAAGGAGAGCUACCGGAGCAGAAUCAAGCACAGGAGCAAGUGCUACGACAUCCAAGCGAAUUACUUGGUUUGGAAGAAGAACGAAAGGAAGGCGAGACCUGGGAAACCUCGUUGUUCUUUCACUCCUAGCUGGGGUCACCAUCUGUUAAAGUGAAUAUAAAAAAUCUCAGAUAAUAACUAUUUUCAUUUGCACACAAAAUAACCUGAAGCUUGUUUUAGUUUCCCUAACACUGAUAUUUUUCUGGCUCUAUCAUACUGGGCACGUAAUAUGUGAGAUGCAAAGAUUAACUAAAAACACUAGCACUGCAAAAAAGUGAGCAGCAGUGCCCAGACUUUGCAGCCUCCCUAUUCAAUUUCCCCUUCCAAGACUGGCUGCCUGUUGAGAAGUGACCGGCAGAACCUCCCACCCACACAGCAACCACCUCCUCUAUAUUCCACACUCCAGAAUUCAGUAUUUUAGUCUGAUUGCCAUGUGAAUGUACAAAAAAAUCUGAAAAUAAAUUCCUGACACAACUGUACCAAAAAAUAUAAACAUUUAUGUAUAAAAAUAUUAAAUAUUGCCAGGUUGGU
Non-coding RNA from Oncorhynchus mykiss (rainbow trout), 1019 nucleotides. Lineage: Eukaryota; Metazoa; Chordata; Actinopteri; Salmoniformes; Salmonidae. The record is from RefSeq and is a predicted model, not a curated record.